UUAAGUUCAGCGGGUAUCCCUACCUGAUCCGAGGUCAACCUUAAAAAAUUAGGGGUUGUUGGCAAGCAUCCACCUGGACCCUAUAGCGAGGAUAAUUUACUACGCUUAGAGCCAGACGGCACCGCCACUGAUUUUAAGGCCCGCCCAGAGGCGAAACCCAAGACCCCGCAAGCGGGAGUGGUUAAUAUGACGCUCGAACA
Molecule: unclassified non-coding RNA, 200 nt
Filed under: Hymenoscyphus sp.
Lineage: Eukaryota; Fungi; Ascomycota; Leotiomycetes; Helotiales; Helotiaceae
Description: partial internal transcribed spacer 2
Source: RNAcentral